Molecule: ribosomal RNA, 253 nt
Filed under: uncultured bacterium
Lineage: Bacteria
Description: partial 16S ribosomal RNA
Rfam family: Bacterial small subunit ribosomal RNA
Source: RNAcentral
UACGUAGGCAGCGAGCGUUGUUCGGAGUUACUGGGCGUAAAGGGUGUGUAGACGGUUCUCUAAGUUUGGUGUGAAAUCUCCCGGCUCAACCGGGAGGGUGCGCCGAAAACUGGAGGGCUAGAGUGCGGGAAGGGAGAGUAGAAUUCCUGGUGUAGCGGUGAAAUGCGUAGAUAUCAGGAGGAAUACCGGUGGUGUAGACGGCUCUCUGGACCGCGACUGACGCUGAGACACGAAAGCGUGGGUAGCAAACAGG